GAUGAAGAACGCAGCGAAAUGCGAUACUUGGUGUGAAUUGCAGAAUCCCGUGAACCAUCGAGUCUUUGAACGCAAGUUGCGCCCGAAGCCAUCAGGUUGAGGGCACGUCUGCCUGGGCGUCACAUAUCGUUGCCCAAUGCCUAUUGCAGUGCAAUAGGAAUUUCUAGGGCGAAUGAUGGCUUCCCGUGAGCGUUGUUGCCUCGCGGUUGGUUGAAAAUCGAGUCCUUGGUAGGGUGUGCCAUGGUAGAUGGUGGUCGAGUUAGAACGAUACCGAUCAUGUGCAUGCUCCCCAAAAUAUGGCCUCUAUGACCCACACGUGUCUUUUGACGCUCAUGACGAGACCUCAGGUCAGGCGGGGCUACCCGCUGAAUUUAAGCAUAUCAAUAAGCGGAGGA
This 395-nucleotide unclassified non-coding RNA is filed under the name soil metagenome. RNAcentral's name for it is "partial contains 5.8S ribosomal RNA, internal transcribed spacer 2, and large subunit ribosomal RNA". The stretch from base 1 to 122 matches the Rfam family "5.8S ribosomal RNA", at positions 35 to 154 of the family's 154-position model. The record is from RNAcentral.